GGUAAAAUGGCUGAGUAAAGCAUUAGACUGUAAAUCUAAGUACAGAGGUCAAACCCUCUUUUUACCA
This 67-nucleotide transfer RNA is filed under the name Genetta genetta (small-spotted genet). Its description in RNAcentral is "tRNA-Tyr". It matches the Rfam family "tRNA". From Rfam's summary of the family: Transfer RNA (tRNA) molecules are approximately 80 nucleotides in length. Their secondary structure includes four short double-helical elements and three loops (D, anti-codon, and T loops). Further hydrogen bonds mediate the characteristic L-shaped molecular structure. tRNAs have two regions of fundamental functional importance: the anti-codon, which is responsible for specific mRNA codon recognition, and the 3' end, to which the tRNAs corresponding amino acid is attached (by aminoacyl-tRNA synthetases). tRNAs cope with the degeneracy of the genetic code in two manners: having more than one tRNA (with a specific anti-codon) for a particular amino acid; and 'wobble' base-pairing, i.e. permitting non-standard base-pairing at the 3rd anti-codon position. The record is from RNAcentral. Lineage: Eukaryota; Metazoa; Chordata; Mammalia; Carnivora; Viverridae. RNAcentral also lists the same sequence under 1 other name.